UGGUGGAGGCAGAUGUUGCUGGGGGAAUUGCUAUUCCCAAAGCUCUUGAGUUCAGGAUUUUAGGCUAUCUCCAACUGAGGGAACAUUGUGGUCAUGCUGAAUCCAUGGGAAUGGAUUCACAAAUGAAGUUCCACAAGAAAGCAGUAUGGACUGGAAUGAAUUAAAAGAAUUAUAACAUGUCCAGCUAUGAAUUCUUCUGCCAAAAUGGCUCUGAUCACCAAAGUGGAAAUCUAUUUAAGAAAGUGAUGGAGAAAAUUUGGAUAAUGCAUACAUUUUUCCCCCUGGAGAGGUGGUUGUUAAAAAAUUAUUAGUUCAUUGAUACCUGGAGUGCAUCAAGAGGAGUUUGGUUUCUUGUGGACCAGUUUAACCUGUGCAAGAAGGGUGGAUGGAGACAAGAGAGAGAAAAAGAAAAACAAUCAUCUUAUCCUUUAUUACAUGGACUGGACGUGGCACAUGAUUAUUAUUCUUAAGUCUUAUGAUGUAGAACUGAGAGUUCAAUUUUCUUUUAAUAUAUGAAGAAACUGAGGCUUAGAAAGGAAAAUUGGCUUGUCCAAGAACAUACAAUUAGGACACAGAAAUGUAAGGAUUUUCAAGUAGACUUUUGGACUCCAAAUCUUAUAUAUAUCAUAAUUCCAUGUUACUUCUGCACAGCAUGAAGCAUUCAGAUAAAAUCAAUGUAAGAUCUGACCAUAUGGAUGUUUCCAAACAACAAGAUAUUGAUAUUUUCCAAAAGGCAAAAUGUCUGCAUUAUUUGGUCACUUUAAAAAUCUUCAUUUAAAUUUUGGCAUUGCAUAGACAUAGAGUAAUUUUUUCCCAAACAGACUGAGUUUCUUUUUUUCAUUCUAACAGCUGGGGAGAUGAUUCUCUGAGAAGGGAGAAGCUUUGCCAAGAAAAACCAAUCUGAUUUCUACCUACAUCUCACAAAAUUCUUUUAAAUAUUAAUUAGAAAAAGGAAGAAUGACAAGUAAGCUUCAAGGAAAUAUAAUAAUGGUCAUUAAUAGGAUAUUUGGUGAAAAGGCAAGACUAUCUAUGUAGCUUUGACCCACUAAAUAGCUUCACCACCCAUUCACUCUAAAAGGAGAAAUAAGCCUUUUCGUUCAUAAUGAAAAUUGAAACUUAGAAUACAGGUACACAAUUCCAAUAACGAAAUUGGAGGAGAAAAGAUCAAUGACAGUAACUCAAUAUAUAGAGACAUCAGAAAGAAGAAGACCAGAAUGUGAUAUACUGCUGAACUAAAUGGACAAAGGUUAAUAAUAGCUUCUUAGAACUUUCUACCCAGAACAUCACUAUUUUGCAUAGUCCAAAAAAGAAGGGGUAAAUUUAAAAUUAUUCUUAAUGCAGUAUCUCUUAAUCCAUUUUCUACUUGUGGAAGUAGAGCCUGAGGAGAUUUAUCUCAGAAUUACUGGUGUAAUGAGAUCUAAGAUAUAAAUGGAUUUUGACUAUAAUUUAUAUGACAGUUCAACUGAAGAUCCAGGGGAUAUGAUAGAGGAUGGAGCAGUUCAGUUAAGAAGGAGAACAACAGUUAACAGAAAAGUUCUAAGAAGAAUUAACAGGGUAGAUUUUAUUUCAGACUAAACCUGACUGAGGAGAAAGAACUUCUUAACCAUUGGUUGAGAUAGCUGACUCAGAAGACCACAGUGAGCUCCGCGACUACUCAUCAAGAAUAGUGAUUGAAGAGAUCUAUAACCUUGACUGCAAGGGAAAGACAUUAAUCAUAGCGCCUCUAUUAGACGGAAGACUGAUCAAUGGGUGGCCCUGAGGAUUCUUAAGUGAGGUAAAGAACAGGCUGGCAGAGGAAGCGGUGCUUUCUAUUGAGUCUCUUCUCCACAGAGUAGAAGCACAUUAACUAUUCCACUCCUGCCCCCAGUGAAUGGUGGAAGUAACUAAAAGAGCUGGGAAAGGAGCUGUAAUGAUCCUAUCUAUAAUUCAUGUUGUAUGACCCAGAAAAUAGAGUUGAUGGUUAGCUGGAGUAUAGGGCAGCACCUAGAAUGAAGAAAUCUCUGGAGAACAGUACAUGGUGGGGAAUAGAUUCAGCUGAAGAGUAGCAGCAUAUAUCAGAAGACUUCAGCAGUUUUGCAGUUUGGAAGGCUUGAAAUGACUUUCUGCAUUCAAUUUUGAGGCUGCUUGCUCUCAUAUCUGACUCCAGGCUGAAUCAGUAGCAGAGAGUGGGAAGAUCCUUUCUUCGGCUCCUUGUCACCCAAUGCUAAAGACCGAGGGAGAACAGAUGAGGACAUGAAGAUCUGAGAAAUUAAUUGACUUCACCAAGGCCACAGAGAUUGCAUGCCAGAACUGAAAAUCCUUUAACUUAAAAGGACUUUGUCAUUGGUUUUGUGUUCGUUCCACAGUGUCAGAAGCUAUCUCUUCUCAGAACUGGUGGUGAUAGUAGAGAAAUGGAACAAAAGCUCCCACUCUGCAUGCUUUGCCUAAUAAACUAGUUUGAAUUACUAAUGGCCAACAUAGUUGUAUUUUUCUUGGCUCAAUUCUGACAAUUAAGAAUGAUAAGAUGGACCAACAUAGGUAUCAUAUCAGCACAUGCUGAAUGUCUAAAAUAAAUCAAUAAUACCGUCAGUGUUGAUCAAUAGGAUGAACUUCAUUCAUCCAGGGAAUCAAAAGAUUUUAGCUGUGCCUCUAAUUAGUUAUAUGAUUUUGGGUCAGUCACUUAAGCUUUCUAAACUUCAUUUUCCUCAUCUAUAGAAUGGGGAUAACUGUCUCUGCCUGACCUUCCUUAAUAAAGCUACUAUGAGUACCAACUCAAAUAUUGGAUGAUAAGACAAAAGUUUUAAAAUCAAUGCUCAAGUUCUAUGAUGUGAAAGUACUUUGAAAAGUAUAAAGGCCUCUAA
Long non-coding RNA from Sarcophilus harrisii (Tasmanian devil), 2840 nucleotides. RefSeq lists it as uncharacterized. The transcript is spliced from 6 exons. The record is from RefSeq and is a predicted model, not a curated record. NCBI's taxonomy places the organism in Eukaryota, Metazoa, Chordata, Mammalia, Dasyuromorphia, Dasyuridae.